RNAcentral lists this ribosomal RNA (1100 nucleotides) under Salmonella enterica. RNAcentral's name for it is "partial 23S ribosomal RNA". It matches the Rfam family "Bacterial large subunit ribosomal RNA", at positions 1 to 1583 of the family's 2925-position model. Lineage: Bacteria; Pseudomonadati; Pseudomonadota; Gammaproteobacteria; Enterobacterales; Enterobacteriaceae. RNAcentral also lists the same sequence under 1 other name. The record is from RNAcentral.
CCACCACUAAGCCAGUGGUGAACUCCACAUACGCAUCCUUUGCUGAGGAUACGGUUAACGGAGCGAAAGCGACGUUCAACCUCAAAAGAAGCAGAGGGGGCUUAGUGGUGGGGUGACUGCGUACCUUUUGUAUAAUGGGUCAGCGACUUAUAUUCUGUAGCAAGGUUAACCGAAUAGGGGAGCCGGAGGGAAACCGAGUCUUAAUUGGGCGUUAAGUUGCAGGGUAUAGACCCGAAACCCGGUGAUCUAGCCAUGGGCAGGUUGAAGGUUGGGUAACACUAACUGGAGGACCGAACCGACUAAUGUUGAAAAAUUAGCGGAUGACCUGUGGCUGGGGGUGAAAGGCCAAUCAAACCGGGAGAUAGCUGGUUCUCCCCGAAAGCUAUUUAGGUAGCGCCUCGUGAAUUCAUCUCCGGGGGUAGAGCACUGUUUCGGCUAGGGGGUCAUCCCGACUUACCAACCCGAUGCAAACUGCGAAUACCGGAGAAUGUUAUCACGGGAGACACACGGCGGGUGCUAACGUCCGUCGUGAAGAGGGAAACAACCCAGACCGCCAGCUAAGGUCCCAAAGUCAUGGUUAAGUGGGAAACGAUGUGGGAAGGCCCAGACAGCCAGGAUGUUGGCUUAGAAGCAGCCAUCAUUUAAAGAAAGCGUAAUAGCUCACUGGUCGAGUCGGCCUGCGCGGAAGAUGUAACGGGGCUAAACCAUGCACCGAAGCUGCGGCAGCGACACUGUGUGUUGUUGGGUAGGGGAGCGUUCUGUAAGCCGUUGAAGGUGUGUCGUGAGGCAUGCUGGAGGUAUCAGAAGUGCGAAUGCUGACAUAAGUAACGAUAAUGCGGGUGAAAAACCCGCACGCCGGAAGACCAAGGGUUCCUGUCCAACGUUAAUCGGGGCAGGGUGAGUCGACCCCUAAGGCGAGGCCGAAAGGCGUAGUCGAUGGGAAACGGGUUAAUAUUCCCGUACUUGGUGUUACUGCGAAGGGGGGACGGAGAAGGCUAUGUUGGCCGGGCGACGGUUGUCCCGGUUUAAGCGUGUAGGUGUGUGUUCCAGGUAAAUCCGGUUCACUUUAACACUGAGGCGUGAUGACGAGGCACUACGGU